Cuculus canorus (common cuckoo) is the source of this 2566-nucleotide long non-coding RNA. RefSeq lists it as uncharacterized. Lineage: Eukaryota; Metazoa; Chordata; Aves; Cuculiformes; Cuculidae. The transcript has 3 exons. The record is from RefSeq and is a predicted model, not a curated record.
GUUCCCUGUCCUGCUGCCAGCUCGGAGAGAGCUGAUAGCUCACCCGCCGUUUAUCUCUCUCUCCCACCACCCAGCCCUCCCUGUCUGUCCCUCCUUCAAAAGCCAGGAACCUGGUGAUGUUCAGGCUCCCGGUGGCAGGAAAUCCCUCUCAACGUCACAUGGAUGACACUGGGGAGCAAGAGUGGAGGGGAAGUGGAGUUAAGAUAAAAUGGAAUUAAAAAGAAACACAAAUGAAGCUUUUCUGUUUCUGUACCGGCACCCCUGCCUGGGAACAGCACCGAAGCCAAGAUCAAGGGCCUGCUUCGUUAAGGGCAUUCCCACAUUAUUGAAUUAAAUAUUCUCACAGAAACGACAGGACCCAGACAUUCCCACCUCAGCAGACGGUGAGAAAGCUUCGCCUCUUCACUAUUACAGACCAGUGACAACAGGAGAGAGUAAUUUAUGGCUCUCUGGGACUGCUCAAUAUGCUCCUCAUCCCAGGGCUCAUCCCCGAUGUUCCCACCGCCAGCACAAAGGCUGCAGCCGGCCAGCAGUGCCCAGGGGACACCUUGCUGUCACAUGCAGCGAGGAGAUGAGCAGCGAGUGGAAUCCCCUUUCUCCUCCCAGCCCUAUUCUUUCUCUCGAGUCCUCUUUUCUCUCCCUUCACCUCAAUUCUUGCUUGUUGGGGUUUUUUUUGGUUUUUUUUUUUUUUCCCAUCCAAAAAUUGGUGAUGUGGAGCUGGGAGUGCUGUGGCUUUGGGGGUCUGCAGAUGGAUGAGAGAAGAUGGGGAUGUUCUGAGACCCCAGGAGUUCAGGAGGUGGGACCCACACCACCAGUGGAAACCUCCUAUGAGGGUCAGGCACUUUCGAAGUUGUCCCCCCGGUAGACAUUCCUUUUCUCCUGCUUUUGGUGUUAUUCUCAGCCGCUCCAGUGACCUUUCUGGGGAACAAUUUACUAUUGUGUUUUGGUGAAGCCUGGCCUCUAUUUUUACACUCUGUUUUGCUGAUGCGAGCGCAGGGAGAGAGACGAGAAUCCAGCAGGAAAUGGGAGGGAGCGUCUGGAGCGUGGUUAAAACUGCCCCGGCACUUUGAUGUGCCAGGACCGAGCCCGGCUGGCAGCUCGUGGUGGGGCUGGGGGACUUUGCUCCCACCCCAUCCCUCUGGUAAAUCCCACACGGCACUAGCUUAAACCAGCCGUGCCAAGGUGGGAAUGGGUCCUGUGGAAAAGGCUUUUGGCAAGAGUCGUGGUGGUACUAGGCUCCUUGCACACGGCGCAAAAUGAAAGGUGGGUUUCUGCUGUCGUAUUGCUUAAGGGAUGCUGGAAGCAAGGGGAGGAGGUGACUUGGUGAUGGCUGGGAGAGUUCUGAGGAUGUGCCCAAGGGCAUCCAGGAAAGCCGUGGCAGAGCACCCUGAGCUGCAUCAUACAAAACUAGCAGGUUGACAGCAGCUGGAGGCAGCAGGUCUUCAUGUAAGACGCCGCCAAGCCAUGGUUCUCCCUGACGUGUGACCCUGAGCCAGUUUUGGGGGAAGUGAGUGGCUCUAAGAUGCCAAGCAUUACAGCCUAAGGUGGCUAAAAGAGCAUGGCUGCAUGCAUGCCCAGUUCACCCCAUGUCUGUGGCGGGGAACAGCUGACUGUCUGACCCUGGAGGUUUAACUGGGGACACAGACAAACCCUGGAAAGGCAGCGGGGCCAGCUGUGCCCUGCAGCUGUCUUGCUCUCACCACUGUCAUCACCUGCAGCACAGCCUUUGGGGCAGAGGUAGCAUCCUGCUGCCCCGUGGCUUUUCUAGAGAGCCUACCAAAACCAGAUGUAAGGUCUUUCUGCACGUCCAACAGGUCCAACCAUAGCCUCACCCACAUCCAAGGCUGCCUCAGAGGGCACGUGAGCAAGUGGAUGCUUUACAGCAGCUGGCCCAUCUCCAAACCACUUCACUCGCACCCCAUCAGUGAUAUAUCCCUUCACACGCUGCUGAAGCUGAAAUAAAGUGUGUCAACACCUCCUAGUCGUGUGUCUUGCAACCAUCCAUCAACACAGCAUUGCUCCUUAGAGCAUCGGGACUGCCCUGGCCCUGGGAAUGGUGUUGAAGUGGGAGCUGGAGGCUGGCAGGGGUGGCCUGGGGGGUGUCCAGGGCUGGUUGGCAACGUGCUGCUGUGGAUGCUGUGGACAGGAAGCUGCUGCCUGGGGUCGAGAGGGCUCUGUGGGCUUGAGUGUGUGGUUGCCGAACUGGUGCCCUACGAAUGCUGGUUCAGGGAGCGUGUGAGGAAGAUCCCUGGCCGUGGCUCCAAUGUGCGGCAUCACAGGAGGUGUGUUAGUAGUCACGCAUCAGCACAGAUGCUUGUGUGCAUGAGGAGUCACAAACAUACUCACUUCCCAUGAAUACCUGUCCAUGCACGAGCUCAUGCACAUGACAGGUAAGUGUGUGCACUGACCUGCUCACAAAGGCAUGGCCCGUUUGCUCUAACCUCUGUGGUGGUGCACAAACAUGUUCACAAAUGCACACGCUCGUUUUUGCAUGGCCCCACCACAGAAAACAUCAGGGUGGUUUUACUUUUGGUUGCAACAGCAGAAAUCACUCCCAAAUUUCUCC